RNAcentral lists this ribosomal RNA (253 nucleotides) under uncultured bacterium. RNAcentral's name for it is "partial 16S ribosomal RNA". It matches the Rfam family "Bacterial small subunit ribosomal RNA", at positions 524 to 776 of the family's 1533-position model. The record is from RNAcentral.
UACGUAGGGUGCGAGCGUUAAUCGGAAUUACUGGGCGUAAAGCGUGCGCAGGCGGUUUUGCAAGCCGGAUGUGAAAUCCCCGGGCUUAACCUGGGAAUGGCAUUUGGGACUGCAAGGCUGGAGUGCGGCAGAGGAGACUGGAAUUCCAGGUGUAGCGGUGAAAUGCGUAGAUAUCUGGAGGAACACCGGUGGCGAAGGCGGCAUCCUGGACCAACACUGACACUGAGGAGCGAAAGCCAGGGGAGCAAACGGG